Gambusia affinis (western mosquitofish) is the source of this 364-nucleotide long non-coding RNA. RefSeq lists it as uncharacterized. The record is from RefSeq and is a predicted model, not a curated record. Lineage: Eukaryota; Metazoa; Chordata; Actinopteri; Cyprinodontiformes; Poeciliidae. The transcript is spliced from 3 exons.
GUAGCGGUCUGUGAAGGCAGCAGUGCCGUGGCGCGUUCAAACCGCGCCAGAGUUUGUUUAAUUUAUUUUUGUUAAAUAUUCAGAAGACCUGCUAUCUGUCAGGAAAUGGGUUGGCGAAGACGAGGAAGGACGCAGACGGACCCAGGAUGAGGUGGAGAAAUAAGUUUAAUGAAGUCCAACAAGAACAUAAAGCCAGGAACCACAGGAAAUGUUUGUACUUGGCGGGGGGACGAGGAAUCGGAGGAAACAGAACUUUGACCAGCCUGAGAGACACAAGGAGACAACGAGACGAUUUUGGGGAAAUACGAAACAUGACGUCACCUACUGUACAAAGCUUCAGGAAACCAAAAGCAGUUUUUCUUUU